Molecule: ribosomal RNA, 497 nt
Filed under: uncultured bacterium
Lineage: Bacteria
Description: partial 16S ribosomal RNA
Rfam family: Bacterial small subunit ribosomal RNA
Source: RNAcentral
GAUGAACGCUGGCGGCGUGCCUAAUACAUGCAAGUCGAGCGAACACUUGAGGAGAUUGCACCACUGUGCUUCUCGGUGGUAGGCUGUGUAAUAAGUGGCUAACCUAUCUAUAAGACUUGGAUAACCUCCGCAAACCGGAGCUAAUACAGGUUAAUAUAUUUAAUCGCAUGGCUUAAUACUUAACACCGCAUUUGCUGUGACUUAUAGAUGGUUCCGCGUCGCAUUAGCUAGUUGGUAAGGUAACGGCUUACCAAGGCAGCGAUGCGUAGCCGACCUGAGAGGGUGAUCGGCCACACUGGAACUGAGACACGGUCCAGACUCCUACGGGAGGCAGCAGUAGGGAAUCUUCCACAAUGGGCGAAAGCCUGACGGAGCAACGCCGCGUGAGUGAUGAAGGUCUUCGGAUCGUAAAACUCUGUUAUUAGGGAAGAACGAAUGUGUAAGUAACUAUGCACGUCUUGACGGUACCUAAUCAGAAAGCCACGGCUAACUACGUG